This 278-nucleotide ribosomal RNA is filed under the name Glomeromycota sp. RNAcentral's name for it is "partial small subunit ribosomal RNA". It matches the Rfam family "Eukaryotic small subunit ribosomal RNA", at positions 569 to 849 of the family's 1831-position model. Lineage: Eukaryota; Fungi; Glomeromycota. The record is from RNAcentral.
AGCAGCCGCGGUAAUUCCAGCUCCAAUAGCGUAUAUUAAAGUUGUUGCAGUUAAAAAGCUCGUAGUUGAACUUCGGGAUUUUUCCAUUGGUCAGGCUUAACUGUCUGUACUGGUGUGAUGAAUUCCUACCUUCUGAGGAAUCUCCAUGCCAUUCACUUGGUGUGGUGGGGAAUCAGGACUGUUACUUUGAAAAAAUUAGAGUGUUUAAAGCAGGCUAACGUCUGAAUACAUUAGCAUGGAAUAAUAGAAUAGGACGGAUUGGUUCUAUUUUGUUGGUU